AGAGUGAACGCUGGCGGUAGGCCUAACACAUGCAAGUCGAACGGCAGCACAGUGGUAGCAAUACCAUGGGUGGCGAGUGGCGGACGGGUGAGGAAUACAUCGGAAUCUACCUUUUCGUGGGGGAUAACGUAGGGAAACUUACGCUAAUACCGCAUACGCCCUUCGGGGGAAAGCCGGGGAUCGCAAGACCUGGCGCGGAUAGAUGAGCCGAUGUCGGAUUAGCUAGGUUGGUGAGGUAAUGGCUCACCAAGGCGACGAUCCGUAGCUGGUCUGAGAGGAUGAUCAGCCACGACUGGAACUGAGACACGGUCCAGGCUCCGUAGGAGGCAGCAGGUGGGAAUAGUUGGACAAGUGGGCGCGAAGCCUGAUCCAGCCAUCCGGCGUGGGAGAAGAACGGCCGUUACGGUUGUAAACGUCCGUUUUGGUAGGAAAGAAAGACGUAAGUUACCGGUUAAGUUACCCGGUUGUUACGUAGG
This 476-nucleotide ribosomal RNA is filed under the name uncultured soil bacterium. Its description in RNAcentral is "bacterial SSU rRNA". It matches the Rfam family "Bacterial small subunit ribosomal RNA", at positions 26 to 487 of the family's 1533-position model. The record is from RNAcentral.